RNA transcript from Oncorhynchus kisutch (coho salmon), 3702 nucleotides. It is a transcript of the gene named lysosomal alpha-mannosidase, with no coding region annotated. Lineage: Eukaryota; Metazoa; Chordata; Actinopteri; Salmoniformes; Salmonidae. The record is from RefSeq and is a predicted model, not a curated record. The transcript has 19 exons.
UCGUGGCUGUUUUCCAAGAUGGCGACUCCGGACUAUACACCGUUUGUGUUCCUCCUGUUAUUAUUUCAAAGCGGCGUUUGGGGCGUUCCCGUCUGUCAAACACCCCAAGAAAGUCCUACAUGUGGAUACAAGUCAUGUCACGCUACCAAGCCUGGGAUGUUGAACGUGCAUCUGGUUCCCCACACCCACGACGACGUCGGCUGGCUCAAGACCGUGGACCAAUACUUUUAUGGAGACCGUAAUGACAUCCAGCAUGCAGGGGUGCAGUACAUUCUGGACUCUGUGGUGGACCAGCUGCUGAAGAACCCUGACAGACGCUUCAUCUACGUAGAGACGGCCUUCUUCUACCGCUGGUGGAAACAACAGACUGAUGACAUGCAGAACACUGUCAAACAGCUGGUCAAUGAGGGGCGGUUGGAGUUUGUGAACGGGGGCUGGUGUAUGAGUGACGAGGCGACCACCCACUACAGUGCAGUCAUAGACCAGAUGACCAUGGGCCUGCGGUUCCUCAACGACACAUUCGGACACUGCGGUCGCCCCCGCGUCGCCUGGCACAUCGACCCCUUCGGGCACGCCCGCGAGCACGCCUCCAUGUUCGCACAGAUGGGUUAUGACGGCUUCUUCUUUGGUCGUCUGGACUACCAGGAUCGUAACAGGAGGAUGGUAGCCAGGGAACAGGAGAUGUUGUGGAGGGCCAGCGAGAGCCUCACCCCCCCUAUGGCUGACCUCUUCACUGGCAUUGGUAUAUAAAACCAACCACAUCAUAAUGACUAUGGGGUCAGACUUCCAGUAUGAGAACGCCAACCUGUGGUAUAAGAACCUGGACAAGCUCAUUCGCUACGUCAACCAGAUGCAGAGUAACGGCUCUGAAGUCAACGUUCUCUACUCUACACCCUCCUGUUACCUACAGGAGCUACACAGGGCUAACCUCACAUGGCCUCUAAAAGGAGAUGAUUUCUUCCCCUAUGCUGACUCAGCUCAUGACUUCUGGACAGGAUAUUUCACCAGCCGUCCAGCCCUGAAACGCUAUGAGAGGAUCAGCAACAGCUACCUGCAGACGUGUAAGCAGCUGGAGGUCCUUGGUGGUCCCAUCUCAAGGAAAGGUCCUUUUGGAGCUGGAGACAGUGAGACCCUGAAGAAGGCCAUGGCAGUGGCUCAGCAUCACGACGCCGUAUCCGGGACGGAAAAGCAACACGUUGCCAACGACUACGCUAGGAAACUGGCCAACGGCUGGGCACACUGCCAGGUGUUGGUCAGUAACACUCUAUCCUCUCUGAGUGGAUCAUCUGCUCCUCGUGUUUACUGUGAACACCUCAACAUCAGUGUGUGUCCCCUCACAGAGACCAGCAAGAAGUUUUCAGUGAACGUGUACAACCCUCUAGCUCGUCCAGUCAGUUGGCCAGUUAGACUGCCAGUCAACGGGACGGCCUACAGUAUCUCAGAUGCUAAGGGCAAGGCUGUGGACAGUCAGGUUGGUCUGUUGUCGUUGUUCUGAUGUCGUUGUUCAAUAACCUUUGUUAUGACAGUUAUGUAUUGUGUGUGUGUAUUUGCGUUUUGUGAGAGUACCCCACUCUAUCCCCACCCCCCCCCAGGUGGUCCCAGUGUCCCAGGCCACAGCGGCGGUGCGACGGGGCAGGGGGUACGCUGUCAACGAGCUGUUGUUCCAGGUUCAGGCCCCUCCCCUGGGCUACAGCACCUACUCUGUCUCCCUGCUUCAGAACGGCCCUCCAUCUCCUCCAUCUCCACUGCCCAGGGCUCCCACGGCUGUACAGAACAAGGUCUGGGUCUUAUGGCUGGACACAAAUGUACUUUCUACUAUGAAAGCAAAUAUUUGAUGUAUUGAUUUCAUGUCACCAAUGGAGACCAAUAUUCCAAAAUGUACAAUGUCUCCGUUAAUGAUGACAUAUCAAUGUUGGAAAGGUGUUUUAAGUUUGGACAGUUUUGUAUCUAGGUUUUUAGGUUUUGAUGUCACCUGUUCUGUCACUUUGUGUCUCCUCUAGUUUCUCAGGGUGACCUUUGACCCAGAGACUGGUCUCCUCAGCAGCCUCAGUAACCUGGAGACACAACAGACUGUCAAACUGUCACAGAACUUCUACUGGUACAAUGCCAGCGAUGGUAACAACUCAGAGAGUAUUCAGAUGUCAGGGGCCUACAUCUUCAGACCGAACACCUCUACCCCCUUCAUCAUCAGCAAGACGGCUAAGAUAGAAACACUACAGAAUUCCGUGGUGCAGGAGGUGAGACAGUGGUUCAGUCCCUGGGUCUCUCAGGUGGUCCGUCUCUACACAGACAGCAGGGCUCUGGAAUUGGAGUGGACUGUCGGCCCGGUGCCUAUAGGUGAUGACCUGGGUAAAGAGGUGAUAAGUCGCCUAGACAGCAGCAUCAACUCCUCUGGUGUCUUCUACACUGACUCUAAUGGCAGAGAGGUGCUGCAGAGACGGAAAGACUACCGGCCCACGUGGAACCUGAGACAGUCUGAGCCAAUUGCUGGCAACUAUUAUCCAAUCAACUCUAGAGCUUACAUUAAGGAUGACAAGGACCAGCUGACUGUAGUGACGGACCGUUCUCAGGGAGGGGGCAGCAUCCAGGAUGGAUCACUGGAGAUCAUGGUAACACACACAGUCUCUCACUACUCUUCAUUUUUCAUGUGGUAGGAUUUUGGCAUCAAAGACAUCUGUUGUGUGUGUUUCACGUCUCACCUCUUUCCCCCGGCUCCACACCCUGUCUAUCUUUAUCACUGUCACAUCUGACAUACUCCAUCCCCCCCAGCUCCACCGUAGGUUGCUGUACGAUGACGUCCGGGGUGUAGGUGAGCCCCUCAACGAGACGUCUGACAUUUACCCAGAAGGCCUGGUGGUUCGUGGUCGCCACCUCCUCUCCCUCAGCCCCCCUGCCACGGCUGCUGACACACACCGCCCACUAGCACAGGAAGUGGUACUGCAGCCUCUCAUCACAUUCACCGACGGAGAGCUGCACCCGAGUACCAGGCUGGAGUUCUCUGGGCUACAGGCAGUGCUGCCCCCUGCUGUUCACCUGUUGACAGUGUCUCAGUGGGACCAGGACACAGUGCUGCUCAGACUGGAGCAUCAGUACCAAGCUUCAGAGAGCAAGGAGCAUUCCCAGCCUGUUACUGUUAAUCUGCAGAAGCUGUUCUCCACUCUGGACAUGCUGGGCGUGUCCGAGAUGAACCUGUCAGCCAAUCAGUGGAAGGAUGAGAUGACGCGUCUGGACUGGAAGGCGGAGUCAGGUGAGAAGCCCCUGCCGAAGAGAGGGGGAGACCCCUCUGUGUGGGAGGUGAGCCUCAAGCCCAUGGAGAUACGCACCUUCCUGCUCCGUGUCAGGCAGAGAUAGUCAAUCACCAACCUCCGUUCCAGAACUAGCCAAUGAUCAAUCCCUGUGGCUUAGCAAUUAUGAACUCACUGCCUUGAUUGGAUGUAAAUAAUUUGGAGUCUGAGUACAUGAAGAUGAAUCAAAUGAACAGGAUUUCUUGUCAUAAUUGAGUUGACCGGAGUGGGAUUUAAAUUAGCUCCUAUAAAAGAGCUUCUUUGAAGCUGCUGAACAAUUCCUUUAUGUUGUAAUUUUAGUGCCAAUACCACAACCUUUCUAGUAUUUCAAAGCCAUUUUCAGUAACUACUUAUUACUAAAUCGUCAUUUGUCUCUAACAUCAAUAAACUAUUCACACACACACACCUGUUACCAAUA